This 20-nucleotide small nuclear RNA is filed under the name Arabidopsis thaliana (thale cress). RNAcentral's name for it is "snRNA_06681". The record is from RNAcentral. Lineage: Eukaryota; Viridiplantae; Streptophyta; Magnoliopsida; Brassicales; Brassicaceae.
AGAUUUUGCAGAAGUGACGC